UUUGUUCUGCUAUAGUUAAACUUGUUGUCUAUUGUAUUCUAUCAGUUUAACACUGUUGAAGGCUAACGAUAAUUUAUUCUGCAUUAUCUUAAUCAUAACAUUUCUUACUGGGCUAGUUGAGCUCACCCUUUUGCUUUCAUUGUUUUCUUCCGGAAAUGAGAACGUAGCUAGGACUAGUCGGAGAAUGGAGUGACGGUCCGAGAUGGUGG
Molecule: long non-coding RNA, 209 nt
Filed under: Panax ginseng (ginseng)
Lineage: Eukaryota; Viridiplantae; Streptophyta; Magnoliopsida; Apiales; Araliaceae
Description: long non-coding RNA (PGIN_LNC014002)
Source: RNAcentral